GUGCUCCCUUUGGCGGUACAUGUUCUAAAAUUGGAGUGAUAGAGAGGAGUAGCAGGGUCCCUGUGUAAGGGUGACAUGCACAUUUGUGAAGCAGUUCAUAUUUUU
Tupaia belangeri (northern tree shrew) is the source of this 105-nucleotide small nuclear RNA. Lineage: Eukaryota; Metazoa; Chordata; Mammalia; Scandentia; Tupaiidae. The record is from Ensembl.